GCUUUUUGUGAGAUUUGUAAGUAAGACCUCCACUAUCGCGCACGGUUGAACUAGGCAAGUAGAUGAUUUUUUAUCCAACAUCUACAGUCGGGCCAAGCGAAGACAAGUUGUGCAUAGAGUGGUUGAAUAGUGUGUUUCAAUGGAAAAUGAUUCUAACUGGCCAGCCAGUCAAAUCUCAUCCACAAUUAAGCAUUGUCGAUCUUCUUCUU
This 209-nucleotide long non-coding RNA is filed under the name Glycine max (soybean). Its description in RNAcentral is "long non-coding RNA (GMAX_LNC002891)". The record is from RNAcentral. Lineage: Eukaryota; Viridiplantae; Streptophyta; Magnoliopsida; Fabales; Fabaceae.